GACAGAGGGUGCAAACGUUGUUCGGAAUUACUGGGCGUAAAGCGUGUGUAGGCGGCUUUGCAAGUCGGAUGUGAAAGCCCCGGGCUCAACCCGGGAAGUGCACUCGAUACUGCGAAGCUUGAGUGUCGGAGAGGUUGGUGGAAUUCUCGGUGUAGAGGUGAAAUUCGUAGAUAUCCGGAGGAACACCGGUGGCGAAGGCGGCUUCCUGGACCGACACUGACGCUGAGGCGCGAAAGCUAGGGGAGCAAACGGG
RNAcentral lists this ribosomal RNA (253 nucleotides) under uncultured bacterium. RNAcentral's name for it is "partial 16S ribosomal RNA". It matches the Rfam family "Bacterial small subunit ribosomal RNA", at positions 524 to 776 of the family's 1533-position model. The record is from RNAcentral.